RNAcentral lists this small RNA (107 nucleotides) under Marmota monax (woodchuck). Lineage: Eukaryota; Metazoa; Chordata; Mammalia; Rodentia; Sciuridae. The record is from RNAcentral.
GCUGAGUGUGGUGGUGCACACCUGUAAUCCCAGUGAUUCAGGAGGCUGAGGCAGGAGGAUUGAAAGUUGAAGGCCAGCCUCAGCAACUUAGCAGGACCCUGUCUCAA